CGGUUGAUCCUGCCGGACCCUACUGCUAUCGGGGUGGGACUAAAACAUGCAAGUCGAGCGUCUCCCAAGCCAUUUGUGGAGGCGCGGCGUACGGCUCAGUAACACGUGGCCAACCUGCCCUUGGGACGGGAAUACCCCCGGGAAACCACGCACAGACCUUGACCACAUAAACACAAAUUCUCAAAAAAUCCAAAAACCCCAUAACACAAACAAACACUUCACUACACCGCCUUGCCGAUUUCUAAGCUGGCAAAGGUUAUCUCAAACUAACCAAAACCUACACGCAACUUUCUAAGAAUAGAAACUUAAGGCUCUGGCGUAGCCCAAAACUGGGGUUAAUUCCCGAUAGGCGAAGAGGCCUGGAAUGGCUCUUCGCCGAAAAGGCGUUAGAGGCAUGCUCUCUAACGCCGCCCAAGGAUGGGGCCGCGUCCGAUCAGGUUGUUGGUGAGGUAACGGCUCACCAAGCCUAUAACCGGUACGGGCCGUGAGAGCGGGAGCCCGGAGAUGGGCACUGAGAUAAGGGCCCAGGCCCUACGGGGCGCAGCAGUUGCGAAAACUCGCCAACGCACGAAAGUGUGAGCGGGCUACCCCGAGUGCCGUCCGCUGAGGAUGGCUUUUCUCCGCUGUAAGGAGGCGGAGGAAUAAGGAGAGGGCAAGACUGGUGUCAGCCGCCGCGGUAAUACCAGCUCUCCGAGUGGUAGGGGUGAUUAUUGGGCUUAAAGCGUCCGUAGCCGGCCUAGCAGGUCUUCCGUUAAAUCCAGCGACCUUAUCGUUGGACUGCGGGAGAUACUGCUAGGCUAGGGGGCGGGAGAGGCCGACGGUAUUCCCGGGGUAGGGGUGAAAUCCUGUAAUCCCGGGAAGACCACCAGUGGCGAAGGCCGUCGGCUAGCACGCGCCCGACGGUGAGGGACGAAAGCUGGGGGAGCGAACCGGAUUAGAUACCCGGGUAGUCCCAGCUGUAAACGAUGCGGGCUAGGUGUCGGGGUGGCUACAGGCCACUCCGGUGCCGCAGGGAAACCCCUAAGCCCGCCGCCUGGGAAGUACGGCCGCAAGGCUGAAACUUAAAGGAAUUGGCGGGGGAGCAC
This 1085-nucleotide ribosomal RNA is filed under the name uncultured archaeon. RNAcentral's name for it is "bacterial SSU rRNA". It matches the Rfam family "Archaeal small subunit ribosomal RNA", at positions 5 to 879 of the family's 1478-position model. The record is from RNAcentral.